Molecule: transfer RNA, 73 nt
Filed under: Ipomoea nil (Japanese morning glory)
Lineage: Eukaryota; Viridiplantae; Streptophyta; Magnoliopsida; Solanales; Convolvulaceae
Rfam family: tRNA
About the family: Transfer RNA (tRNA) molecules are approximately 80 nucleotides in length. Their secondary structure includes four short double-helical elements and three loops (D, anti-codon, and T loops).
Source: Rfam by way of RNAcentral
GGGGGUGUAGCUCAUAUGGUAGAGUGCUUGCUUCGUAUGCGAGAGGCACGAGAUUCGAUUCCUCGCACCUGUA